CAAUGUUUACUUAAACAUAAAUAUCAUAAAAAAUUCAAUCUAAAAUACUGCUUAAUAGUUAAAAAGGAUAAAAACUAUAUGUAAAAACAGGCUUAAUAAUUAAAGAAAGUGACGGAGCUCGAAGUCACUGUUAACAUUGACAUCGACCUUUUUAAAGUGCGUGCUGGUUUUGAUGGUAUUAUUCUCUAUAUAAAUAUUCAAGUCAAGAAAAUUAACCAGACAAUUACUAAAAGUGCUUGUUAGUCUGAUGCCCCAAUCGUUGUCCUCAAUAUGGGCUAAAAAGACCAUGAGAGAUAACUCAUCUCCCCUCCAGAUAAAAAAGAUCUUGUCAAUGUAACGACGAUAGGUCACCAAGUUCGCAUCCCACCUGUGUGAAUCAAAGAUAUGUCUUUGUUCCCAUCGUGACAUAAACAGGUUAGCGUAACUGGG
Molecule: non-coding RNA, 429 nt
Organism: Pelobates cultripes (western spadefoot toad)
Lineage: Eukaryota; Metazoa; Chordata; Amphibia; Anura; Pelobatidae
Source: the annotation of a GenBank genome assembly